GAUGAAGAACGCAGCGAAAUGCGAUAAGUAAUGUGAAUUGCAGAAUUCAGUGAAUCAUCGAAUCUUUGAACGCACCUUGCGCCUUUUGGUAUUCCGAAAGGCACACCUGUUUAAGCGUCAUGAAUACCUCAAUCUCCAUCUUUUCUUCGGAUUGAUGGGUGACUUGGAUGUUGAGCCCUGCUGGUAUGCUAUAUCAGCUGGCUUUAAACUUAUUAGCCGGCUCUGUACUGGAUCGGUUUGACUCGACGUGAUAAUAUUAUCGUUGAGGAUGCAUGUCUCAUGCAGCCGGAAAGUAUCAAAGCAGCUUCUAGCUUGCCUUUAGUGCACUUUUACAUUUUAGACCUCAGAUCAGGUGGGACUACCCGCUGAACUUAAGCAUAUCAAUAAGCGGAGGA
Molecule: unclassified non-coding RNA, 395 nt
Filed under: soil metagenome
Description: partial contains 5.8S ribosomal RNA, internal transcribed spacer 2, and large subunit ribosomal RNA
Rfam family: 5.8S ribosomal RNA (bases 1-120)
Source: RNAcentral